RNAcentral lists this ribosomal RNA (301 nucleotides) under uncultured bacterium. RNAcentral's name for it is "partial 16S ribosomal RNA". It matches the Rfam family "Bacterial small subunit ribosomal RNA", at positions 509 to 807 of the family's 1533-position model. The record is from RNAcentral.
CAGUCGCCACGGGAAUACAGAGGGUGCGAGCGUUAAUCGGAUUUACUGGGCGUAAAGCGUGCGUAGGCGGCUUCUUAAGUCGGAUGUGAAAUCCCUGAGCUUAACUUAGGAAUUGCAUUCGAUACUGGGAAGCUAGAGUAUGGGAGAGGAUGGUAGAAUUCCAGGUGUAGCGGUGAAAUGCGUAGAGAUCUGGAGGAAUACCGAUGGCGAAGGCAGCCAUCUGGCCUAAUACUGACGCUGGGGUACGAAAGCAUGGGGAGCAAACAGGAUUAGAUACCCCAGUAGUCCCUGUCUCUUAUAC